RNAcentral lists this ribosomal RNA (749 nucleotides) under Bacillus subtilis. RNAcentral describes it as "bacterial SSU rRNA". It matches the Rfam family "Bacterial small subunit ribosomal RNA", at positions 57 to 790 of the family's 1533-position model. The record is from RNAcentral. Lineage: Bacteria; Bacillati; Bacillota; Bacilli; Caryophanales; Bacillaceae.
GCAGUCGAGCGGACAGAUGGGAGCUUGCUCCCUGAUGUUAGCGGCGGACGGGUGAGUAACACGUGGGUAACCUGCCUGUAAGACUGGGAUAACUCCGGGAAACCGGGGCUAAUACCGGAUGGUUGUUUGAACCGCAUGGUUCAAACAUAAAAGGUGGCUUCGGCUACCACUUACAGAUGGACCCGCGGCGCAUUAGCUAGUUGGUGAGGUAACGGCUCACCAAGGCAACGAUGCGUAGCCGACCUGAGAGGGUGAUCGGCCACACUGGGACUGAGACACGGCCCAGACUCCUACGGGAGGCAGCAGUAGGGAAUCUUCCGCAAUGGACGAAAGUCUGACGGAGCAACGCCGCGUGAGUGAUGAAGGUUUUCGGAUCGUAAAGCUCUGUUGUUAGGGAAGAACAAGUACCGUUCGAAUAGGGCGGUACCUUGACGGUACCUAACCAGAAAGCCACGGCUAACUACGUGCCAGCAGCCGCGGUAAUACGUAGGUGGCAAGCGUUGUCCGGAAUUAUUGGGCGUAAAGGGCUCGCAGGCGGUUUCUUAAGUCUGAUGUGAAAGCCCCCGGCUCAACCGGGGAGGGUCAUUGGAAACUGGGAACUUGAGUGCAGAAGAGGAGAGUGGAAUUCCACGUGUAGCGGUGAAAUGCGUAGAGAUGUGGAGGAACACCAGUGGCGAAGGCGACUCUCUGGUCUGUAACUGACGCUGAGGAGCGAAAGCGUGGGGAGCGAACAGGAUUAGAUACCCUGG